GACGAACGCUGGCGGCGUGCCUAAUACAUGCAAGUAGAACGCUGAAGAGAGGAGCUUGCUCUUCUUGGAUGAGUUGCGAACGGGUGAGUAACGCGUAGGUAACCUGCCUGGUAGCGGGGGAUAACUAUUGGAAACGAUGGCUAAUACCGCAUAAAAUUGAUUAUUGCAUGAUAAUUAAUUGAAAGAUGCAAUUGCAUCACUACCAGAUGGACCUGCGUUGUAUUAGCUAGUUGGUGAGGUAGCGGCUCACCAAGGCGACGAUACAUAGCCGACCUGAGAGGGUGAUCGGCCACACUGGGACUGAGACACGGCCCAGACUCCUACGGGAGGCAGCAGUAGGGAAUCUUCGGCAAUGGGGGGAACCCUGACCGAGCAACGCCGCGUGAGUGAAGAAGGUUUUCGGAUCGUAAGGCUCUGUUGUAAGAGAAGAACGGGUGUGAGAGUGGAAAGUUCACACUGUGACGGUAUCUUACCAGAAAGGGACGGCUAACUACGUGCCAGCAGCCGCGGUAAUACGUAGGUCCCGAGCGUUGUCCGGAUUUAUUGGGCGUAAAGCGAGCGCAGGCGGUUAGAUAAGUCUGAAGUUAAAGGCUGUGGCUUAACCAUAGUAUGCUUUGGAAACUGUUUAACUUGAGUGCAGAAGGGGAGAGUGGAAUUCCAUGUGUAGCGGUGAAAUGCGUAGAUAUAUGGAGGAACACCGGUGACGAAAGCGGCUCUCUGGUCUGUAACUGACGCUGAGGCUCGAAAGCGUGGGGAGCAAACAGGAUUAGAUACCCUGGUAGUCCACGCCGUAAACGAUGAGUGCUAGGUGUUAGGCCCUUUCCGGGGCUUAGUGCCGCAGCUAACGCAUUAAGCACUCCGCCUGGGGAGUACGACCGCAAGGUUGAAACUCAAAGGAAUUGACGGGGGCCCGCACAAGCGGUGGAGCAUGUGGCUUAAUUCGAAGCAACGCGAAGAACCUUACCAGGUCUUGACAUCCCUCUGAUCGCUCUAGAGAUAGAGUUUUCCUUCGGGACAGAGGUGACAGGUGGUGCAUGGUUGUCGUCAGCUCGUGUCGUGAGAUGUUGGGUUAAGUCCCGCAACGAGCGCAACCCCUAUUGUUAGUUGCCAUCAUUCAGUUGGGCACUCUAGCGAGACUGCCGGUAAUAAACCGGAGGAAGGUGGGGAUGACGUCAAAUCAUCAUGCCCCUUAUGACCUGGGCUACACACGUGCUACAAUGGCUGGUACAACGAGUCGCAAGCCGGUGACGGCAAGCUAAUCUCUGAAAGCCAGUCUCAGUUCGGAUUGUAGGCUGCAACUCGCCUACAUGAAGUCGGAAUCGCUAGUAAUCGCGGAUCAGCACGCCGCGGUGAAUACGUUCCCGGGCCU
This 1369-nucleotide ribosomal RNA is filed under the name uncultured bacterium. Its description in RNAcentral is "bacterial SSU rRNA". It matches the Rfam family "Bacterial small subunit ribosomal RNA", at positions 28 to 1381 of the family's 1533-position model. The record is from RNAcentral.